GAUGAAGAACGUAGCGAAAUGCGAUAAGUAAUGCGAAUUGCAGAAUUCCAGUGAGUCAUCGAAUCUUUGAACGCACAUUGCGCCCUUUGGUAUUCCGAAGGGCAUGCCUGUUCGAGCGUCAUUAUCACCCCUCAAGCCCCUGGGCUUGGUGUUGGACGGUUUGGCGGGAAGGCCUCUGGGUCUCCUGCCCCUCCUAAAGACAAUGACGGCGGCCUCGUUGGACCCCCGGUACACUGAGUUCUUCACGGGACACGUACUGGAGUAAGGGUGCGCGGGACACGGUCUACCUCCCCUCGUGGGAGAAACUUUUUAUCAAGGUUGACCUCGGAUCAGGUAGGGAUACCCGCUGAACUUAAGCAUAUCAAUAAGCGGAGGG
RNAcentral lists this unclassified non-coding RNA (376 nucleotides) under soil metagenome. Its description in RNAcentral is "partial contains 5.8S ribosomal RNA, internal transcribed spacer 2, and large subunit ribosomal RNA". The stretch from base 1 to 121 matches the Rfam family "5.8S ribosomal RNA", at positions 35 to 154 of the family's 154-position model. The record is from RNAcentral.